GGGCAGCGGAGCCGGUGAAGGAAGCCGCAGGCGCGGAUGGAGGCGAAGAGAUCAGGAGCAGUAAAGGAACACUCUCUUCCCCAGUCAGCUGGGAUACGGAUUUUGUAAGGCCUAGGGACUUUGUCUUUGGAGGUCCUGUCUCCAUAAGGCUUCCCAAAACAAAGAAUGUUCAGAUUGGACUGGCCUUAAAAUGCAGUAUUUAAAACAGCAACAUGUCUGACAGAUCCGAGAAAUGAAAUACGUCCAUUUCUUUUGGCAAGGAGCAGAAGGCAACAUAAAGCAGCUGCAAGAAUUAAUUCAUGGAGAUAGUUGACAUUUUCGAGCUGACUGCCUCUUAGAGAAAAUGAUGUCAUUCUCCAGCAGCCUAAUGACAGUCAUCAGCCUGAGAGGACACAUGCUAAUAAGACUAUCACCAGCAAAGAAUUUUCUGAGCAAAUGUGUACUGGAGACCUUCUGAGGAACCCACUAGAGCCUGCACAUCCCCUUUUCCUAGCAAGGUCAACUGGAAAACAGUGUUCUUUCCAAGAUAACGUGCAACUUUCCUUUGGAAUGAUCAGCAGAAUGUCAAAUAAGGAAAGGACAUGUAGAGUUCAUGGGAGGAGACAUUACUUCUGGCUGCAGAAUUAUGGAGGCUUUAUGGGAGACGCCGUAUAUUUUAUCUGUGCGCCUUGAUCACGUGUCUGACCAUGGACAGAGAAACCAGCCUAAUGAGCCUUCUUUACAGGUGACCCUCUAGCCCUUGGUGAACAUCUUGUUUUUAUUCUUUCUUAAUUCCAACACUUAUUCUUGACAACUUUACAAAUGAACAAAUCUUAUUUACUAAAUUGUUGAUGUAGUUUUUGUCUAACACAGGGCUGAUUUUACCCUUGAGAGACGGACACAAGGCUUCAUUUAGGGGAGGAUUAGGUUUGAUGUUUAUUCACUGCACGAGGCAGAUUGGUUUUAGAGACAUGGGUUACAGUCUUGGCUUUUCCUGUUACUGCUUUUGGGUCUUUAGAUGAACAUUUUGCUUUCUCUAGACUCCUUCUUUAUAUAUAAAACAACUACAUCUUUGGACCUAUAAUAACUGUUGGUGGUCUCCAAUGAGACAAGGAUAUGAGGGUGCUUUGUGAAUGGCUACCCAAAUGUAAAAUAUUAUUAUUAUUAUUAUCAUUCAGUAUUAUAAAAUAUUGAUAAAAAUAUUGUCUAGAUUUUUCAGACAUCUUAGAAGUCUUCUUUUUCUUCAGGGAAAAAGAGAACCCUAAAUAUCAAUUAUAAUCAGAAUUUCACAGCAAGUAAAAAUACCUGUGUGUUAAUGAAAUUAAUCCUUAAUGAACCAGAUGACAAUGACUAUUUGAUAUCUGACCUUAAUUUUUUAAACCAGGCAUCAAAACACUUAGAAGUGGGUAGGCAGGGUGAGUACAGAAGAGGAGUGGUGGAAUUCCCUUUACUGUAGGUUAGUUGGAAAGAGAGAAUCAAGAUUCAUAUGACUCUCAGGCAAAAAGAGUGGGAAGAGAUAGACUGAAAUCUCCAUAUUCACAGGUAAGAACAGACAUUUCUUGGCCCAAAUGAUAAAGCAAUGUUCAGCUCUUCUAGUCAAGUCGCCCAUACUGUGGAAUUCCAAGGAAACAGUCUUCACUCCUGUUAAGUGAUAUUCCUGGCCAUUGUCAAUGCGCAAGUCCCACAACAAGGCAGAGACAUUCAUGCUCUUCAUUAACAUUCCCCUAAGGUCUCAGUUUGCAUCUCUCUAUCCAUCUCCUAGCUCUGAAAGGAAGUUUCCUGGGAAACCUUUUCUAUGAAUGGAAUGGAUGAGGUUUGUCCCAUGAGGGAAGAAUUAAAAAAAAAAAAAACAAAAAACACACAGACACACACAACAACAACACAGUACAACAAAAAAACUUCUUUCCCACUGCAGCCAGGAGCAGAUUACGCCUAUCUUUUUUCAAGGACAGGUGGAAAUUCUGACCAUGUGGUAUUCAGUCAUACUAGGAAUGUUGCUCUCUCAAUUUAACAGGAGAGCUUCCUUUCUUACUGAUUAAAAAAGUCAAAAGGGGUUUAAAAUUGCUUAGGUAAAAAGAACUAUGGUUGAGUUUUCUCAGCCACAGAUAAACAUUGGCUCUUUCUGAUCUGCUCUGUUGUCAGCUAUGUAAUGACUCAGUUUGUGCAUUGUUCUCCUUGUUCAGAACAGAAGGGAGAGUAAACCUUAUCCACAGGCUCCUGUUACAAGUAGACCUUCCCCUUCCAUCAGAGGUGGGCUUUGUGCGACACAGUCAGGACAUUCACAAAUUAAAAGAUGAAGAACAGCCCACAUUUUCACCAGCUAUUGAUAUUCCCUAUCCCAGUAAACCAUGGGUUUUCGUCUGAGUAUUUUUUUCCAACUUAAAGAGAGAGAGAGAAAGAGAGAAUAUGUAGGCUAACCAGCUCUAUUGCUAACAAAAGAAAUAGUUAAGAGAGGAAAACAACCAGGGAUGAAAAUCAGGCUUUUAUUUGAAUCUUCUUGCUUCUUUUCAGCACCAGCUUCCUGGCUAACUUGAGCAUCCUAUUCCUGAGCUGGUUGAAAUAUGCCUUUUUUAAAAAAACAACUUUAAUGAGAUAUAAUUUACAUACCAUAAAAUUCAUCUGUUUAAAGUAUGGGACUCAAUGGACCCAGUGGUUUUUAGUAUAUUUAUAGAUUUGUUCAACCAUUACCAUAAUCAAUUUUAUAACAUUUUCAUCAAUCCAAAAGGAAGCCCAGUACCCAUUUGCUGACACUCCCCAUUCUCCCCACUCCACCACCAGCCCUAAGCAGCCACGAAUCUACCUUCUGUCUCUAGAGAUUUGUCUAUUGGAUCUUUCAUACAGAAGCAUGCAAUAAUGUGAUUUGUUUGUUUGUUUUGUUUUUCUCAUGUUUUUUAUUUCUUUAUUUUUUUUAUUAUACUUUAAGUUUUAAGGUACAUGUGCACACGUGCAGGUUAGUUACAUAUGUAUACAUGUGCCAUGUUGGUGUGCUGCACCCAUUAACUCGUCAUUUAACAUUAGGUAUAUCUCCUAAUGCUAUCCCUCCCCCCUCCCCCCACCGCACAACAGGCCCCGGUGUGUGAUGUUCCCCUUCCUGUGUCCAUGUGUUCUCAUUGUUCAGUUCCCACCUAUGAGUGAGAACAUGCGGUGUUUGGUUUUUUGUCCUUUAGAUAGUUUGCUAAGAAUGAUGGUUUCCAGCUUAAAUGUGAUCUUUUAUGACUGGUUUCUUUCACACAGAAUAAUGUUUUCAAGGUUCAUCCAGGCUGUAGCAGCACUUCAUUUCUUUGUAUUGCCAAAUACUAUUCCAUUGUGUGACUAUAACACAUUUUAUGUACCCUUUCAUCUUUUGAUUGACAUUUGGGUUGUUCCCACUUUUUGACACUUAUGAAUAAUGAUGUUGUGAAUAUUCGUGUAUAAACUUUUGUGUGGACAUAUAUUUUCAUUUCUCUUUGGUAUUGACCUAAUAGUGGGAUUGCAAGGUUGUGUGUUUAACACUAUGUUAAAUAUUUUUAGGAAGCCCCAAGCUGUUUUCCAAAGUGGUUGUACCAUUUUACAUUCUCACCAGCAAUGUACCAGGGUAAGACUUAUUUGCAAUUUUCUCCUGCUUAUAGAAUUCUAAAGCUAUGUAAAAGGUUAGAAAUGUAACAGGUGGGUCAUUUUGAUACUUAUUUAGAAAGCCUACUUUUUCUUUCCAAACUACAAACAUUUCUGUUGUCUAAUGAGCAGAUGCUACCAGCUAAUGAAGCAGGAAUACUAAUUUCUUAUUUGAUUCAUAAUAAUAUUCAGUAAUUACAGAGGAAUCUUUACUUAUCUAGCUUUCUGUGUAUAUGUGUUCUACAGUACUAAUUUUUCUUUCUUUUCUUUUAAAAAUUCACCUUCCUUACUGCUUUGUUAUUUAAUGAUUUGUUCUGAUUAUAGACCAUUAAUGCCUGUUUAAAAAAAAAGUCCACAUGUGCAUUUCAAUACCUCUUUUAUUUUAUACUGAUUCAAAGCAAUUCAAUUCUUCAUUCCUAAAAACAUUUAGGCUGAGGCAUAAAAUAGCCAAUUUAAACGAAGUAACAUUUAGUCUUUGAAAUUGCCGUAUAUGUAUUCUUCAUUUAUGCCUACCUGAAAAUGUCAGGUAUGAAAUGAAUUUUAGUGACUCAAUUGUUAUUCUAUAGGCAAAUCCUUAUCUUAUAAACAUACUAGAUAACUUUAUAAGAUAAAUCUGUUUCUAAGACAAAAUUUGUCCAUAAUUCUGAAUUUCUUUCUUUCUUUAUUUACUUAAUGAAAAGGAUGUUUCAUGAACCUUCUAAUUCUUUCCUACUGUGGAUGUUAGUUGGCAUUUUGUAUUGAAUUUCAACAUUUGAGAAUAAGUCAUGGGUCCAGCUAAUCUGCAUAGACCAAUUUGGAGCAGCAUCCUUAAUGAGUGGUGAACUUUCUCUGUUCUCCAGACAAUAUCAACUCUGCCACUUGAAACCAAGGCUUCUAAUGACAUGAACUGAAGGAAAAGUCUUGAUUUCAGAUUUUUGUUUGGCCUGUUUCAUCUCCAUUUGCCGACCCUGGAUUACGCAGAUAGUGCACUGCUUUUAGUAAUCUAGGCCCUUGUGCCAGACCUUGACUGUCAUACUGCAUUAUAACUGAUGGUUCAAAUGCUUCUUUUACAUAAGGAGUAUUUUCUUCCCAGAGAUACCUCUAAGAUAUUCAUGGCUAACUAAAAAUACUCCUGAAUGCUGUUCUCAAGUAGAGUUUCAAGGUCAACAUGAAAAUUGUUAUCACUCUCUUAUGUGACAUAAAAAAAUCUGUUUUAUCUUUGUAACAAUGCUUUCAUUAAAAAAAAAAAAAAGCUUUGCAAUUCCUCUGCUACACUAGUGUUUUCUCAGAUACCAAACAGGCUAUGCCUUGAUGGCAAGAAGAACAAGUUAUGAUUAUUUAUAUGCCAGUGUGCACUUGUUUCCAUCUAGAGUUAUAAACAAUUAGUUUAUGAUAAUCAAUUGUGACAGCAAAAAGGAUUUCUACUCCACUAGCUUAUAUUUCUAAUAACAGAGAAACAGAAGUAAUUUUGAUAAUGUCUUACGUGUCCAGUGAAGUAAUUUCCCUGUUACUGGCUUUUAGCAAGAAUUUAUAAUUAAAUCAGAGAGAAAAAAACACUGGCAGCCAACAUUGUGUCACAUUUAUUUCAAGUGUAAUGUCAAAAAUUUCAUGGAUGGUCACUUGGACAUUGAAAGAGCAAAAAGAUUAGAGAGCAGAAUGGGAUGAUGAGAGGUUCUGUUCAUUUUCCUGCCUUCCCAAAGUAAGAAGGGCAAAUCAAGUAUAAAUAAAACUAUUGCCUUAAUGAGGCUCUUGAGUUUCUGCCUAAACCAACAACGGGAAUAAUGGAAAUCCGCCCCAAAAGUAAUUCUUUUAUAUCUGUUAUUUAAAAGAAGUUGUCUACACACACACACACAC
Molecule: long non-coding RNA, 5403 nt
Organism: Homo sapiens (human)
Lineage: Eukaryota; Metazoa; Chordata; Mammalia; Primates; Hominidae
Exons: 4
Source: RefSeq, a predicted model, not a curated record